RNAcentral lists this ribosomal RNA (472 nucleotides) under uncultured bacterium. RNAcentral's name for it is "bacterial SSU rRNA". It matches the Rfam family "Bacterial small subunit ribosomal RNA", at positions 30 to 490 of the family's 1533-position model. The record is from RNAcentral.
AUUGAACGCUGGCGGCAUGCCUUACACAUGCAAGUCGAACGGCAGCACGGGUGCUUGCACCUGGUGGCGAGUGGCGAACGGGUGAGUAAUGUAUCGGAACGUACCAUUCAGUGGGGGAUAACGUAGCGAAAGUUACGCUAAUACCGCAUAUUCUCUGAGGAGGAAAGUAGGGGAUCGCAAGACCUUACGCUGAUUGAGCGGCCGAUAUCGGAUUAGCUAGUUGGUGAGGUAAAGGCUCACCAAGGCGACGAUCCGUAGCUGGUCUGAGAGGAUGAUCAGCCACACUGGAACUGAGACACGGUCCAGACUCCUACGGGAGGCAGCAGUGGGGAAUUUUGGACAAUGGGGGCAACCCUGAUCCAGCAAUGCCGCGUGAGUGAAGAAGGCCUCGGGUUGUAAAGACUCUUUGUUCUAGGGAAGAAACGGUAGAGUUCUAAUACAGACUUGCUAAUGACGGUACCUGAAGAAUAAG